This 253-nucleotide ribosomal RNA is filed under the name uncultured bacterium. RNAcentral describes it as "partial 16S ribosomal RNA". It matches the Rfam family "Bacterial small subunit ribosomal RNA", at positions 524 to 776 of the family's 1533-position model. The record is from RNAcentral.
UACGUAGGGGGCUAGCGUUGUCCGGAUUUAUUGGGCGUAAAGAGCGUGUAGGCGGCCAGGUAGGUCGGUUGUGAAAACUCGAGGCUCAACCUCGAGACGUCGGCGGAAACCAUCUGGCUAGAGUCCGGAAGAGGAGAGUGGAAUUCCUGGUGUAGCGGUGAAAUGCGCAGAUAUCAGGAAGAACACCCGUGGCGAAGGCGGCUCUCUGGGACGGUACUGACGCUGAGACGCGAAAGCGUGGGGAGCGAACAGG